RNAcentral lists this ribosomal RNA (497 nucleotides) under uncultured bacterium. RNAcentral describes it as "partial 16S ribosomal RNA". It matches the Rfam family "Bacterial small subunit ribosomal RNA", at positions 28 to 507 of the family's 1533-position model. The record is from RNAcentral.
GAUGAACGCUGGCGGCGUGCCUAAUACAUGCAAGUCGAGCGAACGGACGAGAAGCUUGCUUCUCUGAUGUUAGCGGCGGACGGGUGAGUAACACGUGGAUAACCUACCUAUAAGACUGGGAUAACUUCGGGAAACCGGAGCUAAUACCGGAUAAUAUUUUGAACCGCAUGGUUCAAAAGUAAAAGACGGUCUUGCUGUCACUUAUAGAUGGAUCCGCGCUGCAUUAGCUAGUUGGUAAGGUAACGGCUUACCAAGGCAACGAUGCAUAGCCGACCUGAGAGGGUGAUCGGCCACACUGGAACUGAGACACGGUCCAGGCUCCUACGGGAGGCAGCAGUAGGGAAUCUUCCGCAAUGGGCGAAAGCCUGACGGAGCAACGCCGCGUGAGUGAUGAAGGUCUUCGGAUCGUAAAACUCUGUUAUGAGGGAAGAACAUAUGUGUAAGGAACUGUGCACAUCUUGACGGUACCUAAUCAGAAAGCCACGGCUAACUACGUG